UCGUAUUUGGAGUGAUCAAUU
This 21-nucleotide small nuclear RNA is filed under the name Arabidopsis thaliana (thale cress). Its description in RNAcentral is "snRNA_06834". Lineage: Eukaryota; Viridiplantae; Streptophyta; Magnoliopsida; Brassicales; Brassicaceae. The record is from RNAcentral.